GAUGAACGCUGGCGGCGUGCUUAACACAUGCAAGUCGAACGAUGAAGCCCAGCUCGCGGGGUGGUUUAGUGGCGAACGGGUGAGUAACACGUGAGUAACCUGCCCUUAACUUUGGGAUAAGCCUGGGAAACUGGGUCUAAUACCGGAUAGGAGUGUACAUCGCAUGGCGGGUGUCGGAAAGAUUUAUCGGUUUUGGAUGGACUCGCGGCCUAUCUGCUUGUUGGUGGGGUAAUGGCUCUCCAAGGCGACGACGGGUAGCCGGCCUGAGAGGGUGACCGGCCACACUGGGACUGAGACACGGCCCAGACUCCUACGGGAGGCAGCAGUGGGGAAUAUUGCACAAUGGGCGAAAGCCUGAUGCAGCGACGCCGCGUGAGGGAUGACGGCCUUCGGGUUGUAAACCUCUUUCAGUAGGGAAGAAGCGAAAGUGACGGUACCUGCAGAAGAAGCACCGGCUAACUACGUG
RNAcentral lists this ribosomal RNA (466 nucleotides) under uncultured bacterium. Its description in RNAcentral is "partial 16S ribosomal RNA". It matches the Rfam family "Bacterial small subunit ribosomal RNA", at positions 28 to 507 of the family's 1533-position model. The record is from RNAcentral.